GUGCUCGCUUCGGCAGCACAUACACUAAAAUUGGAACGAUACAGAGAAGAUUAGCAUGGCCCCUGCUCAAGGAUGACAUGCAAAUUCGUGAAGUGUUCCAUAUUUUU
Molecule: small nuclear RNA, 107 nt
Filed under: Cervus elaphus hippelaphus
Lineage: Eukaryota; Metazoa; Chordata; Mammalia; Artiodactyla; Cervidae
Source: RNAcentral